Molecule: ribosomal RNA, 393 nt
Filed under: uncultured bacterium
Lineage: Bacteria
Description: partial 16S ribosomal RNA
Rfam family: Bacterial small subunit ribosomal RNA
Source: RNAcentral
AUACGGAAGGUCCGGGCGUUAUCCGGAUUUAUUGGGUUUAAAGGGAGCGCAGGCGGAGAUGCAAGCGUGACGUCAAAUUUCGGGGCUCAACCCCGUCUCGCGUCGCGAACUGCGUCCCUUGGUUGCGGGAAGGGGAGGCGGAACUCGGGGUGUAGCGGGGAAAUGCAUAGAUAUCACGAAGAACUCCGAUCGCGAAGGCAGCCUUCCGGCCCGUCAACGACGCUCAUGCUCGAAGGUGCGGGUAUCAAACAGGAUUAGAUACCCUGGUAGUUCGCACAGUAAACGAUGGACACCCGCGGUUUGGCCUAUAUGGCUGAGCCGCCAAGCGAAAGCGUUAAGUGUCCCACCUGGGGAGUACGCCGGCAACGGUGAAACUCAAAGGAAUUGACGGGG